This 273-nucleotide ribosomal RNA is filed under the name uncultured Staphylococcus sp. Its description in RNAcentral is "partial 16S ribosomal RNA". It matches the Rfam family "Bacterial small subunit ribosomal RNA", at positions 89 to 355 of the family's 1533-position model. Lineage: Bacteria; Bacillati; Bacillota; Bacilli; Caryophanales; Staphylococcaceae. The record is from RNAcentral.
ACGUUAGCGGCGGACGGGUGAGUAACACGUGGGUAACCUACCUAUAAGACUGGGAGAACUUCGGGAAACCGGAGCUAAUACCGGAUAAUAUUUCGAACCGCAUGGUUCGAUAGUGAAAGAUGGUUUUGCUAUCACUUAUAGAUGGACCCGCGCCGUAUUAGCUAGUUGGUAAGGUAACGGCUUACCAAGGCGACGAUACGUAGCCGACCUGAGAGGGUGAUCGGCCACACUGUAACUGAGACACGGUCCAGACUCCUACGGGAGGCAGCAGUC